Molecule: long non-coding RNA, 3003 nt
Filed under: Sus scrofa (pig)
Lineage: Eukaryota; Metazoa; Chordata; Mammalia; Artiodactyla; Suidae
Description: lncRNA (ENSSSCG00025044971.1)
Source: RNAcentral
GGAACGCUGAAUUAGAGAAUAAAGCGCAGCGACCUGAAAACAGAAACCCUAGAGCCCGGGCAGCGGUUUCGUGGGGCCCGACACCCUUCAGGGCUCUGGUGGGGACUGGGGCACUGCAGACUGCCUGGACACCCGGGCCCUGGCUCAAUCUUUGGCACGAGUCAGGCAAAAUUUGGGACAAUAGUUGGGAUUCCCAGGGUUGAGCGUCCGCUUCCGAAGUGUCUCGUGGCCUGAUAGAUUUCAAAAUCACGAAAGGUUUGGCCAUUGUUCUCCCAACAGCUUAAAGUCACUUAGUCUCGCCUGUACCCCCCGGAGAGGACCCCUGGGAAGUUUUACCUCGGAGAUGUACUGAAGAGUUCCUGGGUUCAACAAACCAUGGAGUUUCCUUUUCUACCCAGACCAGCACAAUGUUUGGAUUCUUGGAAGAGCUUGUCAGACCCUGUGUGGAGGCGAUGUAUGAAAUAAACAUCUUAGUAUCUUGGAUUAUAAUCUCCAGACAUGAUGACAAUUAAAGGAGAGAUGGGGCAGCAGCAUGAAGGCAGAGGCUUUACCCCAUCAGGGUGGUUUUUAGGUGUUAUGAAAACCCAUAAGAGAACUGCUAAACACAGGAUAGUUAAGCCAUGUUUCUGCUGUUGGUCCUGGGAGCACUGCCACCUCUGCUUGCACCUAGGUGGGCACCUGCCAGCUGAUGGGCCCCUUACUUUGCUGUUAACUCGAGAGCAUUCCUGUUAUACACAGGGAUUCUGAACAGGAAGAAGGGCAUUUCUCAGAAGGAACAGGAGGAAACCUUGAACUCCAGAUAAGAAUAAUCAGUCCUUCCAACGUAACUGCGCAUGCCUAGCUGUCAGCCCCACCAGCGUGGACACGUGACUGAAGAACGCAUCAGCCCAGCUGCCUGUAAGGGAAGGGACUUCUGCAUUCUUUUUUAAGCACAGGACUGCCCUCUUGAAUUUUAGUUACGCAUUAUUUAUAACAUGAAAACAAAUGGCAUUUUGUUCCCCCGAGAAGUGACUCAAGCCAAAAAUCAAACUUUUAAAAAUGUUUUAAAAUGUUCAUAAAUUACACAUAAUAGGUUUCAUCGUGAGUUGCUUACUCACUUGGGAGGUUUGCUUCCUGGAAUUUUUUGUUUUUUUCCAUUUUAGGGCCACACCCAUAGCUUAUGGAAGUUCCCAGGCUAGGGGUCAAAUCUUGAGUCAGCGCUGCCGCUGCCGGCCUACACCACAGCCACAGCAACACUAGAUCUGAGCCGUGUCUGCAACGUACACCACAGCUCACGGCAAUGCCGGAUCCUCAACCCACUGAGCAAGGCCGGGCAUCACACCCAAGUCCUCAGGGGUACUAGUUGAGCUCUUAACCUGCUGAGCCACCACGGGAACGCCUCUCGACCUUGAAAAUUGAGUAGGACCGUGACCUUUCCCACGGCCACUUCCCUGGCCGCCCUCCGUCCGAGAGAGGAUGCUCCUGCCACGGACACGACACUUUGCCAGGAGGGAGGAAAACAGCAGGCGGGUUUUCAGGGCUGAGAUGCAUGAAGAAAUGGUGUGUGAUCUGAGGUUGCUUAGAUUAGACAAGAUGACCGUUUCUGAAGAAAUAACUUUUUAUGAAAUGGUUAUCGAAUCUUAAUUACGCUUGAGGAUUACUCAUGAGCGUGUGCUCCUAAACUAUGUGGGUGAAACAAAUCAAUAGUUAGACUUGGGAAUUUGACCGUCCCGCUGAUGAGCCCAGGAUAGUCCACGGGGACAGGGAAUGAAGUCGUCGGGGGCGGGGAGGGGCAUUGGGUCUUCGAGGGGGGAAGGAUCAGGUGUCCCGGAGCCUGUUAACUGCAGACUGGUUCAGAAAUAGGAAAUUAAAAGUCCUAACUACUUUAAUUCAGCCUCAGUUUUUUUAAAGCCUACCAUUUUUAAAAAUCAACUCAUAAAUUAUAGUGUUACUAAAUGAGGAACUUCAAGGGGAAAAGCCUCUGACACAGUAAAGCAUCAGGCUACUUGCAUUUUCUUUUUGUAACCAAGAAGGGCAAAGUGCAUUUUCAUGCCAAGCAGGUUACAGAGGACCUCAGCGAGGACAGACAAUGAUUUAACCUAACUUUAAGUAUCUCCUAAUUAUUUAUGUGUUCCUGACUAGAUUGUUUGCAAGAAGUUCUGUGAUAUUCUGCUUUUUAUUUAUUUAUUUAUUUAUUUGUUGUCUUUUUUAGGGCCGCACCUGCGGCAUAUGGAGACUCCCAGGCUAGGGGUCUAAUCAGAGCUUCAGCCGCUGGCCUACGCCAAAGCCACAGCAACUCGGGACCCAAGCCGCGUCUGUGACCUACACCACAGCUCACAGUGACACCGGAUCCUUAACCCACUGAGCGAGGCCAGGGAUCAAACCUGCAGCCUCAUGGUUCCUAGGCAGAUUCCUUAACCACUGAGCCAUGACAGAAACUCCUGUGAUAUUCUGCUUUUUAAAAAGCUUUUAUUGGCAUCCUUUCUGACGUAUCAAAACCUGAGCUUCUGUAACGCUUCUUUAGGAGACUGAAUGUGCUGAGAAGGUUUGCUCUAGAAAACCAUUCAUUUGAAGUGAAAAACCAUUUCUCAUGGGUAUAGAGUUGGCUGCCCAAGCGUAUUGAUCGCAUUAACUCUGACCUCACUGAUUUUGCUAUAAUUAAAUCAACUGUUAGAAAAUCUGUGUACAUUCUCUUGCCAGGCAAAAUGUUUAUUUAGUAAAAGGUGUUUAUAAAGGAUUUAUGAUUAUUUUUUAAUUCCCAAAGUCUCAGUUCUUCCACACUGGCAGCCUGGAGAUGUGUGCCAGUGGAAGACACUCUCAGACCUCUAAGACAGUAUCUGUACGUAGAGGUCAGAGGCUGAGGCCUCACAGCAAAACUGGAAUACCAGCUGUCUCAUCGACACCUCUGGAAAAACCCCCUGAUCUGCUUAUCUUUUCUUCUGUAAAACUCGAGUCCUUAAAACAUUUUUAAAAAAGUGUUCUUAGUGUCAUAUAUAUUUAUUUUAAUGUAAAUACGUCUCUGUC